AAUCAGAUCUAAAUGCUCUAAGUUGAUGCUUUUGCUUCAUACCUGAGCUAUUGGAUCUUGAUUAGCACUCGGGGACCCUCCCUUAUGGUGCCGUUUGAUAUCCCGUGACCUCUAGCAUUAUCUGGUUAUUACACAAGAACUCCAAAGCAAUCUCAGGAGCUAUUCCAUAGGACGAUGAUCAUGAUUCUAGGGCGGACCUGUGCCUUAGAGCCUAAAAAUGAAGUUGAACUAGCUUAAUUAUGUUUUGAUUUCCGUACUCUAUUUCCAAGACAAUGUAACACCUUUGUUUAUAAAUAAAAUACAACUUGUA
RNAcentral lists this long non-coding RNA (310 nucleotides) under Helianthus annuus (common sunflower). RNAcentral's name for it is "sRNA HanXRQr2_Chr07g0305381". The record is from RNAcentral. Lineage: Eukaryota; Viridiplantae; Streptophyta; Magnoliopsida; Asterales; Asteraceae.